This 455-nucleotide ribosomal RNA is filed under the name uncultured bacterium. RNAcentral's name for it is "bacterial SSU rRNA". It matches the Rfam family "Bacterial small subunit ribosomal RNA", at positions 340 to 786 of the family's 1533-position model. The record is from RNAcentral.
UACGGGAGGCAGCAGUGGGGAAUAUUGCACAAUGGGCGAAAGCCUGAUGCAGCUAUGCCGCGUGUAUGAAGAAGGCCUUAGGGUUGUAAAGUACUUUCAUCGGGGAGGAAAAAACAAAACUAAUAAUUUUAUUUCUUGACGUUACCCGAAAAAGAAGCACCGGCUAACUCCGUGCCAGCAGCCGCGGUAAUACGGAGGGUGCUAGCGUUAAUCAGAAUUACUGGGCGUAAAGAGCACGUAGGUGGUUUUUUUAAGUCAGAUGUGAAAUCCCUGGGCUUAACCUAGGAACUGCAUUUGAAACUGAAAUACUAGAGUAUCGUAGAGGGAGGUAGAAUUCUAGGUGUAGCGGUGAAAUGCGUAGAUAUCUGGAGGAAUACCUGUGGCGAAAGCGGCCUCCUAAACGAAUACUGACACUGAGGUGCGAAAGCGUGGGGAGCAAACAGGGAUUAGAUACC